GGAGGGAUCGCAUAGUGGUCUAGUGCGGGCGCCUGCUAAGCGCCUACCCUGAGUAAUCGGGGUCGAGGGUUCGAAUCCCUCUCCCUCCGCCA
RNAcentral lists this transfer RNA (92 nucleotides) under Chloroflexota bacterium. RNAcentral's name for it is "Chloroflexi bacterium (hot springs metagenome) tRNA-Ser". It matches the Rfam family "tRNA". From Rfam's summary of the family: Transfer RNA (tRNA) molecules are approximately 80 nucleotides in length. Lineage: Bacteria; Bacillati; Chloroflexota. The record is from RNAcentral.